AUGAACUUUCGUGUUGGUGCUAUUAGCGACCCAAAGCAACAGAUGAAUUCAAAUAGUCAUGUUAUAUUUUUUUUCCAUGAUUGUCAUCAGUUUUUGCAAUGUAACAAAAGACACCCAAGCGUCCGGUUCCUCCCGGUGCGAGCCCAGCAGGAGGUGAAAGAGGAGGAGCCCACGGGCCGCGGCAACGGUGCCGCCGCUGCAGGAGGACCGCUGGCGGAGAGCAAGAACAUGGGGCGGGAGUACGGCAGCCAGUGGCUGAGCUGCACGACGCGGCACGUGCGUAUCUACGACGCGUACAUCCACAUGGAGACCAACGCCUUCGACCAGACGCAGACGGACAAGCUCACGCUCAUGGUUCGUCUGGACCGACGAGACCUACCAGAUGGUCUACAACGAGUUCCAGGACCUCGUCGACCACUACAAGCUCCACUGUCGGAGUACACGCUUCGUCUGAUCGGCUCAGAUCUUGAGCACUACAUCCGCAAGCUGCUCUAUGACGGGGAGAUCAAGUACAACAUGAGAUCCAGAGUGCUCAACUUCAGCAUGGGCAAACCCCGCGUCAAAUUCAACAGCAGCCAGAUCCCUGAUGUGAAAUAG
Molecule: ribosomal RNA, 597 nt
Filed under: Triticum aestivum (bread wheat)
Lineage: Eukaryota; Viridiplantae; Streptophyta; Magnoliopsida; Poales; Poaceae
Description: partial small subunit ribosomal RNA
Source: RNAcentral